This is a non-coding RNA of Aspergillus awamori, 71 nucleotides long. Lineage: Eukaryota; Fungi; Ascomycota; Eurotiomycetes; Eurotiales; Aspergillaceae. The record is from the annotation of a GenBank genome assembly.
GCCCGGAUGGUCUAGUGGUAAGCUUUAUCCAAUCAUGCGAGAGGUCCCGCGUUCGAAUCGCGGUUCGGGCC